GGUUGACCUCGGAUCAGGUAGGGAUACCCGCUGAACUUAAGCAUAUCAAUAAGCGGAGGAGGGGUUGCGGGYCCCCCCUCCSGGGGGGGGUCC
RNAcentral lists this ribosomal RNA (93 nucleotides) under uncultured Eurotium. Its description in RNAcentral is "partial 28S ribosomal RNA". Lineage: Eukaryota; Fungi; Ascomycota; Eurotiomycetes; Eurotiales; Aspergillaceae. The record is from RNAcentral.